CAUCGGUAGCCAGUGGAAAAUCCGAAAAGGUGUCCUAUUGGCGAUUCCUGUAAUUUUGCAAACUCGUUUAUAGGAAAUCAUUUGAUUCAGACUUGAGAGUCAAAGCGUGUGAAGGAAAGCUACAAUAAGUUGGGCUAUCACUGUUGUCAGAAAUAGUUGCUUAGUUAAUAAGCUUCUGCUAAGAUAUAACCUGGCUUUCAUUAAGAAAAAUGGAGCAGUCAGAAACAGUUCUAGACAAAGAUGCAAAAGUUGGGAGAUUGCUUGAGGAAAGACGGGAGGAAAGAAAAGAGAAAAUGCCGGUGAAAAUAAGUCGUAUUAAAUUUAUAAAGCCAAAUGACGCUACAACAAGUACAGUAAAACACAAAAUACCCAACACAAAUAAAAAAAUUUCAGCAGGGAUAGGCUACACAAUAUGCACAAUAUGAAGUGAAAA
This is a long non-coding RNA of Daphnia pulicaria, 433 nucleotides long. RefSeq lists it as uncharacterized. The transcript is spliced from 2 exons. The record is from RefSeq and is a predicted model, not a curated record. NCBI's taxonomy places the organism in Eukaryota, Metazoa, Arthropoda, Branchiopoda, Diplostraca, Daphniidae.